CCUACGGGAGGCAGCAGUGGGGAAUUUUGGACAAUGGGCGAAAGCCUGAUCCAGCAAUGCCGCGUGAGUGAAGAAGGCCUUCGGGUUGUAAAGCUCUUUUGUCAGGGAAGAAACGGUGAGGGCUAAUAUCCCUUGCUAAUGACGGUACCUGAAGAAUAAGCACCGGCUAACUACGUGCCAGCAGCCGCGGUAAUACGUAGGGUGCAAGCGUUAAUCGGAAUUACUGGGCGUAAAGCGUGCGCAGGCGGUUUUGUAAGUCUGUCGUGAAAUCCCGGGCUCAACCUGGGAAUUGCGAUGGAGACUGCAAGGCUAGAAUCUGGCAGAGGGGGGUAGAAGUUCCACGUGUAGCAGUGAAAUGCGUAGAGAUGUGGAGGAACACCGAUGGCGAAGGCAGCCCCCUGGGUCAAGAUUGACGCUCAUGCACGAAAGCGUGGGGAGCAAACAGGAUUAGAUACCCUGGUAGUCCACGCCCUAAACGAUGUCUACUAGUUGUCGGUUUAAUUACUUAGGUAACGNAGCUAACGCGUAGAAGUAGACCGCGUGGAGGUACGGUCGCGAAGUAGUAAACGUUACGAAGUAAGUUAGUUAGCGNGAGAGNGCGACGGACGACGACGAGGGAGGAGG
RNAcentral lists this ribosomal RNA (624 nucleotides) under uncultured bacterium. Its description in RNAcentral is "bacterial SSU rRNA". The stretch from base 1 to 541 matches the Rfam family "Bacterial small subunit ribosomal RNA", at positions 338 to 873 of the family's 1533-position model. The record is from RNAcentral.